UUGACCUCGGAUCAGGUAGGAAUACCCGCUGAACUUAAGCAUAUCAAUAAGCGGAGGAAAAGAAACCAACAGGGAUUGCCCUAGUAACGGCGAGUGAAGCGGCAACAGCUCAAAUUUGAAAUCUGGCUCUCGGGCCCGAGUUGUAAUUUGUAGAGGAUACUUUUGAUGCGGUGCCUUCCGAGUUCCCUGGAACGGGACGCCAUAGAGGGUGAGAGCCCCGUCUGGUUGGAUGCCAAAUCUCUGUAAAGUUCCUUCGACGAGUCGAGUAGUUUGGGAAUGCUGCUCUAAAUGGGAGGUAUAUGUCUUCUAAAGCUAAAUACCGGCCAGAGACCGAUAGCGCACAAGUAGAGUGAUCGAAAGAUGAAAAGCACUUUGAAAAGAGAGUUAAAAAGUACGUGAAAUUGUUGAAAGGGAAGCGUUUAUGACCAGACUUGGGCUUGGUUAAUCAUCUGGGGUUCUCCCCAGUGCACUUUUCCAGUCCAGGCCAGCAUCAGUUUUCCCCGGGGGAUAAAGACUUCGGGAAUGUGGCUCUCUUCGGGGAGUGUUAUAGCCCGUUGUGUAAUACCCUGGGGGGGACUGAGGUUCGCGCAUCUGCAAGGAUGCUGGCGUAAGGUCA
This 616-nucleotide ribosomal RNA is filed under the name Fusarium proliferatum. RNAcentral describes it as "eukaryotic LSU rRNA". It matches the Rfam family "Eukaryotic large subunit ribosomal RNA", at positions 1 to 640 of the family's 3401-position model. The record is from RNAcentral. Lineage: Eukaryota; Fungi; Ascomycota; Sordariomycetes; Hypocreales; Nectriaceae.